RNAcentral lists this ribosomal RNA (500 nucleotides) under uncultured bacterium. Its description in RNAcentral is "partial 16S ribosomal RNA". It matches the Rfam family "Bacterial small subunit ribosomal RNA", at positions 30 to 523 of the family's 1533-position model. The record is from RNAcentral.
AUUGAACGCUGGCGGCAUGCCUUACACAUGCAAGUCGAACGGCAGCACGGGAGCAAUCCUGGUGGCGAGUGGCGAACGGGUGAGUAAUAUAUCGGAACGUGCCCAGUCGUGGGGGAUAACGUAGCGAAAGCUACGCUAAUACCGCAUACGAUCUAUGGAUGAAAGCGGGGGAUCGCAAGACCUCGCGCGAUUGGAGCGGCCGAUAUCAGAUUAGGUAGUUGGUGAGGUAAAGGCUCACCAAGCCGACGAUCUGUAGCUGGUCUGAGAGGACGGCCAGCCACACUGGAACUGAGACACGGGCCAGACUCCUACGGGAGGCAGCAGUGGGGAAUUUUGGACAAUGGGCGCAAGCCUGAUCCAGCAAUGCCGCGUGCAGGAUGAAGGCCUUCGGGUUGUAAACUGCUUUUGUACGGAACGAAACGGUGAGCUCUAAUACAGUUUGCUAAUGACGGUACCGUAAGAAUAAGCACCGGCUAACUACGUGCCAGCCGCCGCAGUAA